GACAUUUUAUAGGAUUGCUAAAUACAGGAUUAUGUAACCAAUAAAACUAACAGAUUUCCUAAUCUAUCUGUGUAACCACGAACAAUAAUCAUGAAAAUGACUUUGUAUCACACCCACUGAUUCAUUCAUUGAAGUAGGGUAUAUAAAACUGCAGACAAAGUUUAUCUUCAGAACUUUUUUUUGGCUGCUCAUACAACUGUUUUCAGAAGUACAGAACCAAUCAUACAACAUGAAGCCUGUGAUCUUAUUGUUUUUAUUUGCUGCAACAACUGCUGCUUUUCCAGCCCUGUCAAGAAAACAUUAUUCCCAGUUGUCUUCAUCUUUAUCUUCAUCAUCAUCAUCUGAAGAAGAAGAAGAAAGGCCAAAGAGCACCUCGACAGCUCUGCCAAGCACAAUUAAAACUGUUACUGCAACAAUGCCUACCACAGCUACACCUUCUACACCUCUCAGUAACUGCACCAUUAUUACAGAUCCUUUUGAUACCACACCCUCAGGACCAGCCAGUACUAUGACUACAGGUAGUAGAGGUGAUAACAACAUUAAAGCGUAUGUAGCAAAACACCAGUAUGUUAAAUAUUAAAUGUACAAUACCUGCUAGAUUAUCCAAUACACCUGAUAAUCAGAUCAAAAUUGGUGUUGAGAGAGGAUUGCCGAUAAAUGUGUUUCCACAGUAAUUUAGAAUCUGUAUUUUUCCAUGUAUUAUGCUAUAGACCUGUUGUCUUUGUUUUGGUUAUACACAGCUGAAAAACCAUCCAUGCACUCAUAUGUACUUUAAUAAAGAUAAACAUACCUUUAUACAAUAAAGUGUAAACCAUACCAAGUAACCUGUAUAGAAUGCCUUCCACAUACACUGAUAUUAAAUCAUAUGUACCAAGCUUUAGCUUAAGUUAAUUGUAGGCUGCUUUUUAUGUCUGUUUUAAUGUAAUAAAUCAUACAUGAUACCUUGAUUUUAGUGGAGAUGAAAAACAAAUAAAGCUGGAUCACUUUU
Acipenser ruthenus (sterlet) is the source of this 988-nucleotide long non-coding RNA. RefSeq lists it as uncharacterized. The record is from RefSeq and is a predicted model, not a curated record. The transcript is spliced from 3 exons. Lineage: Eukaryota; Metazoa; Chordata; Actinopteri; Acipenseriformes; Acipenseridae.